This 785-nucleotide ribosomal RNA is filed under the name uncultured bacterium. RNAcentral describes it as "bacterial SSU rRNA". It matches the Rfam family "Bacterial small subunit ribosomal RNA", at positions 60 to 818 of the family's 1533-position model. The record is from RNAcentral.
AGUUCUCGUUGAUGAUCGGUGCUUGCACCGAGAUUCAACAUGGAACGAGUGGCGGACGGGUGAGUAACACGUGGGUAACCUGCCCUUAAGUGGGGGAUAACAUUUGGAAACAGAUGCUAAUACCGCAUAGAUCCAAGAACCGCAUGGUUCUUGGCUGAAAGAUGGCGUAAGCUAUCGCUUUUGGAUGGACCCGCGGCGUAUUAGCUAGUUGGUGAGGUAAUGGCUCACCAAGGCGAUGAUACGUAGCCGAACUGAGAGGUUGAUCGGCCACAUUGGGACUGAGACACGGCCCAAACUCCUACGGGAGGCAGCAGUAGGGAAUCUUCCACAAUGGACGCAAGUCUGAUGGAGCAACGCCGCGUGAGUGAAGAAGGCUUUCGGGUCGUAAAACUCUGUUGUUGGAGAAGAAUGGUCGGCAGAGUAACUGUUGUCGGCGUGACGGUAUCCAACCAGAAAGCCACGGCUAACUACGUGCCAGCAGCCGCGGUAAUACGUAGGUGGCAAGCGUUAUCCGGAUUUAUUGGGCGUAAAGCGAGCGCAGGCGGUUUUUUAAGUCUGAUGUGAAAGCCCUCGGCUUAACCGAGGAAGCGCAUCGGAAACUGGGAAACCUGAGUGCAGAAGAGGACAGUGGAACUCCAUGUGUAGCGGUGAAAUGCGUAGAUAUAUGGAAGAACACCAGUGGCGAAGGCGGCUGUCUGGUCUGUAACUGACGCUGAGGCUCGAAAGCAUGGGUAGCGAACAGGAUUAGAUACCCUGGUAGUCCAUGCCGUAAACGAUGAAUGCUA